GACGAACGCUGGCGGCGUGCUUAACACAUGCAAGUCGAGCGAUGAAUUUUCUUCGGAAAUGGAUUAGCGGCGAACGGGUGAGGAACACGUGAAGAAUCUGCCCUCCACUUUGGGAUAACACAGGGAAACCUGUGCUAAUACCGAAUAUUGAAACAUAAGUGGCAUCACUGAGUUUUGAAAGAAUUUCGGUGGAGGAUGACUUCGCGGCCUAUCAGCUAGUUGGUGAGGUAAUGGCUCACCAAGGCAACGACGGGUAGCCGGCCUGAGAGGGCGACCGGCCACACUGGGACUGAGACACGGCCCAGACUCCUACGGGAGGCAGCAGUGGGGAAUAUUGGGCAAUGGAGGAAACUCUGACCCAGCGACGCCGCGUGCGGGAUGAAGGCCUUCGGGUUGUAAACCGCUUUCAGUAGGGAAGAAGCGAAAGUGACGGUACCUACAAAAGAAGCACCGGCUAACUAUGUGCCAGCAGCCGCCGCGG
RNAcentral lists this ribosomal RNA (481 nucleotides) under uncultured bacterium. Its description in RNAcentral is "partial 16S ribosomal RNA". It matches the Rfam family "Bacterial small subunit ribosomal RNA", at positions 28 to 523 of the family's 1533-position model. The record is from RNAcentral.